This is a long non-coding RNA of Bubalus bubalis (water buffalo), 5270 nucleotides long. RefSeq lists it as uncharacterized. The record is from RefSeq and is a predicted model, not a curated record. The transcript has 3 exons. NCBI's taxonomy places the organism in Eukaryota, Metazoa, Chordata, Mammalia, Artiodactyla, Bovidae.
CACAACAUUUUUAAUCAACUACCCUUCAAUAAAAAUAAAAUUAAAAAGAAAUAUUUUGAAAAAAGCACAGCAUUGUAAAUCAACUAUAUGUCAAUAAAAAUAAAUUUUUUAGAAGGAAACCAAAAUCUGGAAAAUAGAUGUUCUCAUUAUUACUGGAACCAUAGAUUCUAGGCCCUCUUAACUGACAGAAAAAAAAAUGUAUGUGUGUAUGCGUGCAUAUGUGUGUAUACCAACCUAUCCAUGUACAUAUUAUCUAUCUACCUAAUAAUGUGUAUAUCUCCACCUGUAUUGAUAUUAAACUAAGCAUGGAUUCAUAAAAAUAAUUAAUGAGAGUUUAGGAAAUGGAUAUAUAUAUAUAUGAUGAAUGAAUUGGUGACUAAAUGAAAUUGUUUUCUCCCAAAGGAUCUGGAUAUUUGUUUCUGCUCUUAAAAGUUGGCUUCACUUACUAAUUUUUUACACCUACUUUACAAUGAAAACACAAUUUUUAUUGAAUAAUUAUUAACUAGCUUGUAUUUAUUCAAACUCACACCCUCCUGAACUCCAUGAAUGAUUUCAGAAGAGCUUACAAUAAGCAAGACUUCAGAUUGGGAGAGUGAGCAAUAGCUGUGACUCCGGCUGUCCAAGCUGGCAUCACCACAUGUGCAACGAUGGUGAGAGCAAAUGCUUCGUCAUACCAGGGCACGCAUAAAACACGACUGUGCAUAGGCAUUACUCAGAACACAGCAACGCUUGUGUCAAAACUAAGGCUGUAGACUUGAGUACACAUGGUUUACCUGGCUUAAUUCUUAGAGAAUGUCAGUGGAACAAAAAUUUCAUUAAUUUCUGGAGUAGAAGAAAUUUUCCUCUUGAUAACUCUGUAGGGUCAGUACUAUCCCAGACAAUGCUUUUCUUCCUAGAAUUUUGAGUUUCUUAAUUUUCCAUGUGUGCACAAUCCAUGGGAAAUUGUUUCCAGUAAAUUCCUACAGCCUUCAGCCAUUUUCAAGGUGCAAGGACCCUGUAGAUUUGUGUUUCUAUUAAUUACAAAAAGAAAAUAGAAACGGAAAAUCCAUCAUCAUUGUUAUUAGCAAGGAAUAUAAUGAGCAUUAGAAGCCUCUGAAUUAGCCUAAAAGCAGUGUGGACUACUAAAUAUCAAGUAUAAAUAGAAGAUGAAGAUGAAUUUUAAAGGGCAGAAUUCUGUUUGUACAUUUACUUUCAUAUCAGAUUAGUUCUACAUAUGCUUUCUACAAAAGGAACUGGAGAACACUUGUGUUUCUUGUCUUAGAUGGAUUUUCUGAAGGAAGAGCUAGGCCAGUGCCAGGAUGCCCUUGUCUGAGCCCUUGGGCCCUAGAGAGGCAGAUGAAAGGACGCGGUUGCAGAGCCCAGAUGCUGGGCCCUGCGCUGAUGUGGAAUGCUCCCUUUCUGAGAGAGCACUGUAGAUGCUCAGGACCAGAGCAGUGGGGGUGGGUGGACCAGGGAGAAUGGAGAAGGUGGGGGCAGAACCAUCACUGUGUAGUGGAACAGGCCAGCCACAUGCACCCCUGCAUUCCCAUGGCCAAAGGAGAGUCCUAGUAUCAAUUAGUCAACAGACAGAGUGAUGGUAACUCCCGCCCCCUGCCGUUUAGUGCCUGAACUCUCACCAUCAAGGAUGGGCCUUUAACUUCAACACUCUGAUGUGUCAAAAUCCAGAGAAUUGGGUUUAGGAAGAACGGGAGGUGGGGAAGCUUGAGCGGCUGUCAUAUUUUAAGCUAUCCUUAAUUAUGCAUAGCUUAGGAAAAUUCAUGACGAUAGAGUCAACAGGAGGGUUCAAGACUGAAAGACAUAGGGUAGGUAAGAAAAACUUGUAAACUUUAUCCAGGAGCAGUGCUGUACCAUCCACCGUCAGAAGGAAUUAAUUCUUCAAACACUUCCCCAGUGCUCCUGUGGUGAAGACUUUAACUUCCAAUGCAGGGGAUACUGGUUCGAUUCCUGAUCAGGGAGCUAGGAUCCCACAUGCCAUGUGUCCAAAAAACCAAAAACAUUAAAGAGAAACACUGUAAAAAUCCAAUAAAGAGUUUAAAAAUAGUCCACAUCAAAAAAAUCUUUAAAAUAAGCUAAUAUGAGGAGACUAUAAAACAUGACCAGGGUAUAGACAUCCAGAGCUACACCUUCAGGUGAGGAGACUUUUAGGAGCCUCGUCUUAACAGGGCUAGAGCAGCCUGUUGCCUGUGGUUUUGAAUUAAUUUUGUUGGUCACAUUUCUCAGUUAGUGACAAGAUAUUGUAGCCCUGAGCAAAUUUACUUAGUUCCAUCUUUCUAGAUUAGUGGUUCUCUGCCAGGAGGGUACAGCAGAAUCGUUGUAUAGCUUUUGCCAAUUGCUCUCAGCGCUCCCCUCAUCUGAAAAAGAAUUAGAGUGUGGAUGGGGCAAGAGACAGGCCAGGUGUGGGAAGUAAGAAGACUCUGUCCUGAUAAGCCUAUUACCAGCCUCUCAUUUUAAGAACUGCUAUUCCAAGUGGAACCGAUACUGCUUCAUAACCAGAAAACAAGGACAUAGUUUAAACUAAAUAACUUUGAAUCUCACUAAAACUGGCAAAAUUGUUCAGCAGCUUUUGGGGAUAAAUCUGCUUUACCUUUCACAUGGAUUUCCUCUAGUUGGUCUCUUGCUAAAAAGGAAGGCUGUACAUACAGGCAGUGAAGCAUUCUUUUGAUGCCUGUUAAAUGCCCUUCCCUUUACGAAUCCUUGUAACUAAGAUCUUAUGAUCUUUCGUGCUUUAUUUGGAGGAUUUUUUUUUUUUAAUGUUUAUUCAUAGAGCUCUGAGCAAAGUCUGGAUCUUCAAAGCUGUGCUAAGGUUUACUAUCUUUUUCAACAUUCACUGAAUUGUUAUGUGAGGUGGUUUGCCUAGUUUGCACUAGGCAUUUUUAAUUUAAAGCUAUUAUUGAAAAGCAGUAAGAUUCCAAGGCAAGUAGGGGAUCUGUCACUUGGAGAAAAAUUUAUGGGAGUAAAAAUAUUCUUUUUGUAAACAGUUACUGCUCUACAAUGUCUUCCCAGGGUGAGGCUUGGUAUUCAUCUGUUUUAAUUAAAGAGUAUCCUGCCUGUCUGUUUGUGACCAGCUCAUAAGAAGGGGGUAUCUUGGUGAGAAGUUCACAAGGUUGGAAGCUGUAGCUGAGUUUGCUGAACCGACUCAAGCCCUAGUCAGCAGUGGUAUAUGAAUGCCAAGCACUAAGAAUUUCUGGAAUGUAGAAUCGCACAGCACUGAUAAAGUUUGCUUUGUUCCCCUGUGUGACUUGACCCAUUGAAAGAAGAUGUGGUUCCCUAGGAAGUUUUAAUAGUUCAAAGUCCUUAGUUAAUAAAGAAAAAGGCCACAACAUAAUUCAGCUUGUUUUCACCUGCUGCCUCAAAGAUUAACUUUCUUAACAUUAAGGAGAUAGAGUUACACUUUGCUUUGAAAAAGUAGCUUGUGGAGCACUUCACGUUCGUUCGUUUCACUAAACAUGACAGUGUUUGUGUGGAUUUGGUUUUUGUUUGGGGUUUGGUGUCACAAACUAAGACUUCUGCAACUUAAGAACCUUCUGGUAACAUCAUCUAAAAACAAAUCUUGGGGAAAGGCACACCCACUUCUUUGUAUCAACUUAAUCUCUCACUAGGCGAGGAGGGGUUUUGAAUUACUUCAGGAAAGCAGUGACUAAUAGAGCCUACCCUCCAGUUUUCCUCAUUUAUUUUCAUAAGAGAAUGGGAGUGGAAUUCAAAACAUUCAGAUCUGGAGUUAAUGUACGUCACCCUGUCAGCAACUGACAGGCUCUGUGUUUUUCCAGUGGGAAAACUUUGACCCACAAACUGAUAGACGCCUGUUACAGGCUUUUCUAUUCCUUCUAUUUCUCUCCUGGUUAUUGCUUACUCGUUCAAAAACCAGCUGACUGUACAGGUUGUCUCUAGGAGCAGAUUUCAGAGCAAAGGUGAUACAUAAAAGCAAUGCCUUGCCAGGCUCCCUUGUCCAUGGGAUUCUCCAGGCAAGACUACUGGACUGGAAAUUUCCUCCUCCAGGGGAUCUUCCCGAACCAGGAAUCAAACCCACGUCUCCUGUGUCUCCUGCAUUGGCAGGUGGAUUCUUUACCAUUGCUGCACCUGGAAAGCUGAUGAUGUUGGGGCCCUUCUGUGAUGUGGGCACUGAAACCUAGGCAGACAAUGGAAUAAAGAUUGGUACUGUUUAAAAAGAUUUUUGGAGAAAUGUGGAAAGCAAAAUAGACAGAAAUUAUGAUGUAUUUAUGUAAAGUUGUGCCGGGUGAGCCUGCCCUUCCACCUCCGCCUCCACCCCUGAGACAGCAAGAACCUCCUCUUCGUCCUCAGCCCACUCGUUAUGAAGACAGUGAGGACGAAGACCUCUAUGAUGAUCCACUUCCACUUAAUGAGUAGUCAGUCAUCAUCAUAUUGCACAGUUGAUAGACUCAUCUGUUGAAUAUGUGUGAGUGUCUUCAUGUGGAAGUCUAAGGACUGAACAACAAGAACUGUAUAGACAUUUUUGUGUCAUCAGCACCGUCUUUGAUUGUGUAGCACAUCAUGUACUGAAGUGGAUAAUCCAUCCUUACAUAGGCAUAAGGUGAGUGAUAUUUAAUAUAAAACUAAUAUGUUAGUUUUCUUACUGCCUUAUAAUUCUGCUUUCAAAGAAUUCCAUUACUAUACAGUGUGCCUCUCUCAUAAUUGGAAAAACUGUAUAUCAGCCUAUCAUCACAGCUAAGUUUUUUUUUCAAGUUUCCAAUGUUGUAUUAUGGAUAUGACUAUAAUACUGUUUGUCAUAAAGUUGUAAUGAAAUUUCAUUUAUUAGUGUAUAAGCUAAGCUACUGUGAAGCAGUCAUAUCGAUUACACGAGGCUACCAUAAAACAUUGCUGCUUCAUUGUUAUCAGUGCAUGAAUCUUUAUACCUGUAAAUAAUAAUACUUCAGUAUUCUUGCCUGGAGAAUCCCAUGGACAGAGAAGCUUGGCGGGGUCUACAGCCCAUAGGGUCACAAAGAGUUGGAUACUACUGAAGCGAUUCAGCGAUUUUUCACAUUAGCAUUUCAUUUUUGAUGUCUGGAUUUAGUAAUACAUGUAACAUCUGCAGUGUUUCAUAUCAUAUAAGACAAUAUUGAUGUUGACAGUAUUGAUAAUACUGACAGUAUUGACAAUAUUGACAGUAUUGAUAAAUGAUUUAUCUUAUACUCUUUCUGACCCCAUGGACUACAUAGUCCAUGGAAUUCUCCAGGCCAGAAUACUGGAAUGGGUAGCCUUUCCCUUCUCCAGGGGAUCUUCCCAACCCAGCAAUCGAACCCAGGUUACCCUCA